RNAcentral lists this ribosomal RNA (497 nucleotides) under uncultured bacterium. RNAcentral describes it as "partial 16S ribosomal RNA". It matches the Rfam family "Bacterial small subunit ribosomal RNA", at positions 28 to 507 of the family's 1533-position model. The record is from RNAcentral.
GAUGAACGCUGGCGGCGUGCCUAAUACAUGCAAGUCGAGCGAACAGACGAGGAGCUUGCUCCUCUGACGUUAGCCGCGGACGUGUGAGUAACACGUGUAUAACCUACCUAUAAGACUGGGAUAACUUCGGGAAACCGGAUCUAAUACCGGAUAAGAUAUUGAACCGCAGGGUUCAAUAGUGAAAUACGGUUUUUCUGUCACUUAUAGAUGGAUCCGCGCGGCAUUAGAUAGUUGGUAAGUUAACGGCUUACCAAGGCAACGAUGCGUAGCCGACCUGAGAGGGUGGUCGGCCACAUUGGAACUGAGACACGGUCAAGACUCCUACGGGAGGCAGCAGUAGGGAAUCUUCCGCAAAGGGCGAAAGCCUGACGGAGCAACGCCGCGUGAGUGAUGAAGGUCUUCGGAUCGUAAAACUCUGUUAUUAGGGAAGAACAACUGUGUAAGUAACCAUGCACGUCUUGACGGUACCUAAUAAGAAAGCACCGGCUAACUACGUG